RNAcentral lists this ribosomal RNA (253 nucleotides) under uncultured bacterium. RNAcentral describes it as "partial 16S ribosomal RNA". It matches the Rfam family "Bacterial small subunit ribosomal RNA", at positions 524 to 776 of the family's 1533-position model. The record is from RNAcentral.
UACGAAGGGUGCAAGCGUUAAUCGGAAUUACUGGGCGUAAAGGGUGUGUAGGCGGUUGCUUAAGUUUGGUGUGAAAUCUCCCGGCUCAACCGGGAGGGUGCGCCGAAUACUGAGUGACUAGAGUGCGGGAGAGGAAAGUGGAAUUCCUGGUGUAGCGGUGAAAUGCGUAGAUAUCAGGAGGAACACCGGUGGUGUAGACGGCUUUCUGGACCGUAACUGACGCUGAGACACGAAAGCGUGGGUAGCAAACAGG